RNAcentral lists this ribosomal RNA (381 nucleotides) under uncultured marine Chaetocerotaceae. RNAcentral describes it as "SSU rRNA". It matches the Rfam family "Eukaryotic small subunit ribosomal RNA", at positions 587 to 972 of the family's 1831-position model. Lineage: Eukaryota; Bacillariophyta; Thalassiosirophyceae; Chaetocerotales; Chaetocerotaceae. The record is from RNAcentral.
AGCUCCAAUAGCGUAUAUUAAAGUUGCUGCAGUUAAAAAGCUCGUAGUUGCAUUUCCGAGGCAAGGGAUUAGUCCGACCUUUGGUGGGUAUUUCAUCCUCUUUCCUCUUCCUUGAGUGGUGCUUCUUGGUAUUAAGUUAUCGAGGAGAUAGCCGCUCAUCGUUUACUGUGAGAAAAUUAGAGUGUUCAAAGCAGGCUUAUGCCGUUGAAUAUAUUAGCAUGGAAUAAUAAGAUAGGACCUAGGUACUAUUUUGUUGGUUUGAGAACCAAGGUAAUGAUGAAUAGGGACAGUUGGGGGUAUUCGUAUUCAGUUGUCAGAGGUGAAAUUCUUAGAUUUACGGAAGACGAACUACUGCGAAAGCAUUUACCAAGGAUGUUUUCA